AUUGAACGCUGGCGGUAUGCUUAACACAUGCAAGUCGAACGGAAACGAUACUAGCUUGCUAGUAGGCGUCGAGUGGCGGACGGGUGAGUAACGCGUAGGAAUCUGCCCUCGAGAUCGGGAUAACCUGAGGAAACUUAGGCUAAUACCGGAUAAGACCACAUUUCAUAUGGAAUGUGGGAAAAGGAGUCUCAAUCUUCACUCGAGGAUGAGUUCGCGGACCAUUAGCUUGUUGGUGAGAUAAAAGCUCACCAAGGCAACGAUGGUUAGCCGGCCUGAGAGGGCGAUCGGCCACACUGGAACUGAGACACGGUCCAGACUCCUACGGGAGGCAGCAGUGGGGAAUAUUGCGCAAUGGGCGAAAGCCUGACGCAGCAACACCGUGUGAGCGAUG
This 391-nucleotide ribosomal RNA is filed under the name uncultured Nitrospina sp. Its description in RNAcentral is "bacterial SSU rRNA". It matches the Rfam family "Bacterial small subunit ribosomal RNA", at positions 30 to 410 of the family's 1533-position model. The record is from RNAcentral. Lineage: Bacteria; Pseudomonadati; Nitrospinota; Nitrospinia; Nitrospinales; Nitrospinaceae.